This 497-nucleotide ribosomal RNA is filed under the name uncultured bacterium. RNAcentral's name for it is "partial 16S ribosomal RNA". It matches the Rfam family "Bacterial small subunit ribosomal RNA", at positions 28 to 507 of the family's 1533-position model. The record is from RNAcentral.
GAUGAACGCUGGCGGCGUGCCUAAUACAUGCCAGUCGAGCGAACGGACGAGAAGCUUGCUUCUCUGAUGUUAGCGGCGGACAGGUGAGUAACACGUGGAUAACCUACCUAUAAGACUGGGAUAACUUCGGGAAACCGGAGCUAAUACCGGAUAAUAUUUUGAACCGCAUGGUUCAAAAGUGAAAGACGGUCUUGCUGUCACUUAUAGAUGGAUCCGCGCUGCAUUAGCUAGUUGGUAAGGUAACGGCUUACCAAGGCAACGAUGCAUAGCCGACCUGAGAGGGUGAUCGGCCACACUGGAACUGAGACACGGUCCAGACUCCUACGGGAGGCAGCAGUAGGGAAUCUUCCGCAAUGGGCGAAAGCCUGACGGAGCAACGCCGCGUGAGUGAUGAAGGUCUUCGGAUCGUAAAACUCUGUUAUUAGGGAAGAACAUAUGUGUAAGUAACUGUGCACAUCUUGACGGUACCUAAUCAGAAAGCCACGGCUAACUACGUG